Molecule: unclassified non-coding RNA, 238 nt
Filed under: Hevea brasiliensis (rubber tree)
Lineage: Eukaryota; Viridiplantae; Streptophyta; Magnoliopsida; Malpighiales; Euphorbiaceae
Source: RNAcentral
UAAGAAUCAUAUUAAACACUCAAAAAAAGGAGGCACAAGAGUUCUAGUUUUCAAUAAAUUGUUGUUCAUCAUUUGUCUUACUGAAUUCUAGUAGAUGAUAUUGUGGGCAUCUUGAUGUCUGUAAUUGUGUGAAAUCUUAAAUAAUGGCUUAAUUUUUUGAAUGGAAUUGAAGCCCAUUCUAUCUUGAUAUUGCCACAAACCAACGCUUUUGGGGAAUGGGAUUCUGCUUUAAAUUGAU